GACGUAGGGCGCGAGCGUUGUCCGGAAUUAUUGGGCGUAAAGGGCUCGUAGGCGGUUUGUCGCGUCGGGAGUGAAAAUCCAGGGCUUAACUCUGGACUGGCUUCCGAUACGGGCAGACUAGAGGUAUGCAGGGGAGAACGGAAUUCCUGGUGUAGCGGUGAAAUGCGCAGAUAUCAGGAGGAACACCGGUGGCGAAGGCGGAUCUCUGGGCCUUACCUGACGCUCAGGCGCGAAGGCUAGGGGAGCGAACAGG
RNAcentral lists this ribosomal RNA (253 nucleotides) under uncultured bacterium. RNAcentral describes it as "partial 16S ribosomal RNA". It matches the Rfam family "Bacterial small subunit ribosomal RNA", at positions 524 to 776 of the family's 1533-position model. The record is from RNAcentral.